Long non-coding RNA from Chelonia mydas (Green sea turtle), 2089 nucleotides. RefSeq lists it as uncharacterized. The record is from RefSeq and is a predicted model, not a curated record. The transcript has 2 exons. Lineage: Eukaryota; Metazoa; Chordata; Testudines; Cheloniidae.
GUCCCUCCCUCCUUCCCCCGGCGCGGCGGCGCUGCUCGCCGAGGCUCCCUGGCCGCUAGCGGGGAGGAAACUUCCUCCCCGCGCUGAUGCUUUCCAUGAAACACCCCGGGCUGCCUCUGGCCCUGCUCUGGAAGGGAGAGCGCGACCCGGGGGUUGCCCAGCGCGCUUAGGUGAGGUGGGGGAAACGGCCCAUUGAAACCUACGCAGCCCACGAAGAAACCCCUCAGCCGCCGGGCGUGGAGCUGCGAAUGUGGCCCUUUGCCAGCCGUCCUCCAGGGAGUCGUCUUCCCCAGUCGCUGAGACUUGAGAGAGCGGCUCUGCGCUGAUUCAGAAGACAAGAACAUAGGAAUUGCCAUACUGUAUCAUAUCUGUGGUUCAUCUAGUCCAGUAUUCUGUCUGCAACAGUGCCCGUCACUAGAUGCCUCUGAAGAACGUGCAAGAACUCCACAGAAGGCAGAUGUGGGGUAAUUUUCCCCUCAUGAAGGUCUCAGCCUAAUUCGUAAGAUUUGGAGAUUGGUUUAAACUCUGAAGCAUUUUUAUCUCUUCCAAAUUUCUGUUUACCAUAACUGUUACAAUGCUGGAUAUUCUUGUUAUCCACAUAUAUGUCCAAUCCCUCUUUGAACCCUCCACAGAUCAGCUAUGGCAGCAUGGUAUGGUGAAGAAAGAGAUUUUAGGUAGAUAGCUCAAGCAACUUAGGGCUUCAUAUGUCAUAACCAACAACUUGAACUCCAUGCAAAAAACUACAAGCAACACAUGCAGAUUUCAGAGCACUGAUGUCACAUGCACAUGGCUUAAUCAGGUUGCUGCCUUCCAUACUAGCUUAAUUUUCCAAGAUGAUGAAAGGCAUAUAGAGCAUAUUGCCAUUGUCACUUCAAGAUCUGCCAAAGUCAUGUUCAGACUGCUUCCAUGUAUUAAGAAAGAUGUUCACUUGAGCCCUGUUGAUCAGAUGAAAUGGGCAGCAGUGAGGGUCAUUAGCACAUGAAAACAAUUUGACCAGUUCCUCUUAACUGAUCCUCCCAAAGACACAACACAACACCGAUGAUGUGGAACCCCACAUAAGAACACCCUGCUGACAGAAAAGCAGUUACCCAGACCUACUCUCUGGAAUCUCUUCAGGAGAAAAGAAUGAAGCUUGUUCCACAAGCAAAUCACCAACACUUCACAAACAACAGUAUUGAAAUAAACUUUUAGAUCUAAUAAUAACGUUAAACCACUUAAAACAAGGCCUAACAGAGUCUGCCCAAAAACUAGCACCAUCUGAAUGGGGAGUUCCAGUGGGUAUUGUGACAAGGGUGGAGGGGGUGGGGUAUGUGUGUGUGAGAGAGAGAGAGAGAACACACAAACAAACUGAGAACAGAGCAAAAGGGAGAGGCAAGUAGUCUCAUUCUGACCCUGUGAAAAGCUAGAGAGCUUUUGGUUAAAGAGGCUUGGGACUGUAAGCAGGGAAACUGCUCCUUUUAUUCUUGGAUCCUCUUGCGUUCAGAGAAGCAGAACUUUGUACAUUCCUUGUAAAUAAGCAAGAUUGCAUCAAAGAAAAUACCAGACUCCAUCAUCAAUUUCUACUCCCAACUGGAACAUUCCGAGCACCUCAAAAUUUGACUAGCUGCUCAGGUCAAAAGGGGGCAACAAUAAUAGUAGUAUCAGUAAUGACAAAUACAUUAUGGUAGCAUCCAAAGGCCCUAAUCCUGACUGGGGCACCAUUCUGUUGGGCACAGUAAAAAUGUAGAAAAGAAACAGUCCCCUCCGUGAAAGGUUUAAAAUCCAAUGACAAAAAGAGAUGAAAGGAAGAGAAUGGUGAUACAACAUACAAGCAAAUGAAUGAUGCUGCCUAGAAAGGAUAUUGAGAGGCUUUUCUCAUGAAAGGUGGCUAUGUAUUGCCCUUGAAGUGUGCCAAGGUGGGAGGAGGGCUUUCAUUCUUAUGUAGAAAUCUCUAUCACAUUGCCUGUCAGCUCAGAUUUAUUGAAGAUUGGAUGAGUGGAGAUUCUUUGUAUACACCAGUGGAUCUAGAGAGGGAAAUGUGUCAUUCUAACUUUAUAUUGCAGAUUACAUUUGCAUCCUCAUAUUUUAAUAAAGAUAAAAUUAAAUCCAU